GCGAGGAUGGUGGAAUUGGUAGACACGCCAGACUUAGGAUCUGGUGCCGCAAGGCGUGGGGGUUCAAGUCCCCCUCCUCGCACCA
Molecule: transfer RNA, 85 nt
Filed under: Allomeiothermus silvanus
Lineage: Bacteria; Thermotogati; Deinococcota; Deinococci; Thermales; Thermaceae
Also listed under: 5 other names
Description: Meiothermus silvanus tRNA-Leu
Rfam family: tRNA
About the family: Transfer RNA (tRNA) molecules are approximately 80 nucleotides in length. Their secondary structure includes four short double-helical elements and three loops (D, anti-codon, and T loops).
Source: RNAcentral